RNAcentral lists this ribosomal RNA (293 nucleotides) under uncultured Acholeplasma sp. Its description in RNAcentral is "partial 16S ribosomal RNA". It matches the Rfam family "Bacterial small subunit ribosomal RNA", at positions 1089 to 1382 of the family's 1533-position model. Lineage: Bacteria; Bacillati; Mycoplasmatota; Mollicutes; Acholeplasmatales; Acholeplasmataceae. The record is from RNAcentral.
GCAACGAGCGCAACCCUUAUUGCUAGUUACCAUCAUUAAGUUGGGGGACUCUAGCGAGACUGCCAGUGAUAAACUGGAGGAAGGUGGGGGAUGACGUCAAAUCAUCAUGCCCCUUAUGACCUGGGCUACAAACGUGAUACAAUGGCUGAAACAAAGGGCAGCGAAGGAGCGAUCUGGAGCGAAACCCAAAAAGCAGUCUCAGUUCGGAUUGAAGUCUGCAACUCGACUUCAUGAAGUCGGAAUCGCUAGUAAUCGCGGAUCAGAACGCCGCGGUGAAUACGUUCUCGGGGUUU